RNAcentral lists this unclassified non-coding RNA (314 nucleotides) under Hevea brasiliensis (rubber tree). Lineage: Eukaryota; Viridiplantae; Streptophyta; Magnoliopsida; Malpighiales; Euphorbiaceae. The record is from RNAcentral.
CAUCCACAUCAUGAAUCCCAUCAUUAGCAAAUUCUUGGCAGGGGCUUGAGCAAUUUCCCAAGCUUUCUGGGAUUUCCACGCCGCCUCAGCCUCCUUCUUCUGGCGGCCGGCGGCCGCAUCCUCCAGAUCUAGAGCGGAUCGGUUGAAGCCGAUCGGGUCGGGGAUGUCGGAGGGGGAGGGAGAGUUGUCGGAGAAUUCCACCGCCCAUCUCCGAGCCAAACCCUUUCCCUUCUCCAUCUUCUAUUGAGGGGAUUGAUGAGAGACGACGGCGGCGGCGGUGAGAGUGGCGGAGAUCUUGGUGGAGUCGGGAGGGG